UUCUACAAGUCUCCUAUACUAGUUAUUUCUUAUGUAUAUAAUUGAGAUUGCUUAUUAUAUUAUGAUUUAGUAUGCAGUUUCCCCCAUAACUCUGUGUUGUUUGAGGUUGUGGGAGGAACUACACACCAUGUGACCAGAUCUGAGACACUUCAGAUCCAAGACUCCAUUUUGGAAGCCAUUUUUUUUACCUCAGAACAGUACAGUGUGUGUGAGGCAUUUACCUCAGAAGCAGUCGGGAAGUUGAGGAUUGGAGAGCUGCGUAAGGAUGGAGAAAACUCCCAGUAACCAUUCACAUUUCCUUUUAAAAAAAAGCAAAGAUGAUCAAGACAGGCCACGGAAAUGGUACUGACUGUUGUUCAUUCCCUUCUUCCAGAGAGAGUCACAGGCUAUAUUUUAUUUCGUUAUUAUUUCUGUUCAUGUUCUGUUUCUGAACUUAUGCAUCUUGCUUUUUCUCCAAGUUCCUCAUAACAGCUUAUAUGGUCCUCACCACCAUUUUUAUGUUCACAGUCAGCCUGCAAGGUAGGUUUGAUGCAACCAGUGCCUACUAUGAUGCCAGACAGAAACAAAUGUGAAUGUCUGCAUCUGCCUCUACUUCAGUGCAAAGCAAGGAGGCACUUUUCUGUGAUGCCACAAACACCAGGGCUUUGCUCACUCACCAACUAUAACAUUCUUGGUUCAGCUGUGUGCCUACAAGCAGGACAUCAAGAAAACAGCCCUACCAUGAAGAAGUUACUUUGGGGGUUUAUAACACACAGAAUCUCCCAGCUAUUGUCAGCAAUAUUAUAAAUUAACUAGGUAUUUUUAAUUACAAAAAUGUGAGUGAAGCACUGAAAGAGUUAAAUGGAUGCAAUGACUCAGCAAAAGCUGCAGUUCAAUAUAAGCAUGUGUGCCUGUAGCUUAGGGACGCCUCACUAUUAGUCAGCCUCAGAGUGAGAGAAGUAGAGUGGGAGGUGUUAGUAAGCCUCAGUGUAAGGCGGCUUGAUUUGAGAAGCUUCAGUGAGAUAAGCUGCAUCCUCACGACGACCCUGACACAGCACCCAAAUGCAAAUCAAGGAACAUGAAAGGCACUGCAGACUAACUCAACCAGAGAAGUCAGCCAUAGCAGAGCACUUGAUGAACCACCCUAGACACAGCAUAUCAUUUGAGAACACAGAAAUGCUGGACCACUCUCACAACCACCAUGUCGGACUACACAGAGAAACCAUUGAAAUCCACAAGCAUGUGAACAAUUUCAGCAGAAAGGAGGAAACCAUGGAAAUGAACACAAUCUUGCUACCCGUAUUAAAAAAAAUCUAGAAUCAGGAGUUUACAACACAAUUAACACAAAUAUUGUGAAUACUGACUAGUUUCCCCCUAUUUUAAUGUUGUCUUUGUGCUUUUGGCUAAAUUGUACUUAUUUUAAAUUGUAAAGUGCCUUGCUUCCCAGUUUUGUGGAAAAAGCAGGGUAUAAAGAUGAUCAUGCCAAACCCACAUGUACUCCAUCCUUCAUUCGUCUUUCUUUGUAAUCAUGUUUUGAAAAAAGAAAUCCAAAGUUCCAGUAGUUUUUAGGCUUUUAUAAGAACUGUUCUAAAAGGCAGCACAGAAAUGAUAAAAAUAAUGGAUAAAAUACA
This is a long non-coding RNA of Anolis carolinensis (green anole), 1610 nucleotides long. RefSeq lists it as uncharacterized. NCBI's taxonomy places the organism in Eukaryota, Metazoa, Chordata, Lepidosauria, Squamata, Anolidae. The record is from RefSeq and is a predicted model, not a curated record. The transcript has 3 exons.